AGUGAACGCUGGCGGUAGGCCUAACACAUGCAAGUCGAACGGCAGCACAGUAAGAGCUUGCUCUUACGGGUGGCGAGUGGCGGACGGGUGAGGAAUACAUCGGAAUCUACUUUUUCGUGGGGGAUAACGUAGGGAAACUUACGCUAAUACCGCAUACGACCUACGGGUGAAAGCAGGGGAUCUUCGGACCUUGCGCGAUUGAAUGAGCCGAUGUCGGAUUAGCUAGUUGGCGGGGUAAAGGCCCACCAAGGCGACGAUCCGUAGCUGGUCUGAGAGGAUGAUCAGCCACACUGGAACUGAGACACGGUCCAGACUCCUGCGGGAGGCAGCAGUGGGGAAUAUUGGACAAUGGGCGCAAGCCUGAUCCAGCCAUACCGCGUGGGUGCAGAAGGCCUUCGGGUUGUAAAGCCCUUUUGUUGGGAAAGAAAAGCAGCAGGUUAAUACCCCGCUGUUCUGACGGUACCCAAAGAAUAAGCACCGGCUAACUUCGUG
This 492-nucleotide ribosomal RNA is filed under the name uncultured bacterium. RNAcentral's name for it is "partial 16S ribosomal RNA". It matches the Rfam family "Bacterial small subunit ribosomal RNA", at positions 29 to 507 of the family's 1533-position model. The record is from RNAcentral.